RNAcentral lists this long non-coding RNA (307 nucleotides) under Homo sapiens (human). Its description in RNAcentral is "non-protein coding lnc-USP51-4:1". Lineage: Eukaryota; Metazoa; Chordata; Mammalia; Primates; Hominidae. The record is from RNAcentral.
AUAAUCUGGUGAGGAAGAUCAACACGUAGGCCUAGACCAAGAUGAAGUUUACAAACUCCUGAGCUGAUUAGGCCUAUGCUUGAGCCCAGUGAUGAGGAGCCUCAACAACAAGAACCACCAACUGAAAGUUGGGAUCCUACACCUGGUCAGGAGAGAGAUCAGGGUGCAGCUGAGAUUCAAGUGCCUGACCUGGAAACUGAUCUCCAGGAGCUGUCUGAGUCAAAGACUGGGGAUGAAUGCAGAGAUGGUCCUGAUGUCCAGGAGAAAAUUCUGCUAAAUUUAGAGCAAUUUAAAAUGCCAGAAGGAG